UACGUAGGGUGCAAGCGUUAAUCGGAAUUACUGGGCGUAAAGCGUGCGCAGGCGGUUCGCUAAGACAGAUGUGAAAUCCCCGGGCUUAACCUGGGAACUGCAUUUGUGACUGGCGGGCUAGAGUAUGGCAGAGGGGGGUAGAAUUCCACGUGUAGCAGUGAAAUGCGUAGAGAUGCGGAGGAAUACCGAUGGCGAAGGCAGCCCCCUGGGCCAAUACUGACGCUCAUGCACGAAAGCGUGGGGAGCAAACAGG
RNAcentral lists this ribosomal RNA (253 nucleotides) under uncultured bacterium. RNAcentral's name for it is "partial 16S ribosomal RNA". It matches the Rfam family "Bacterial small subunit ribosomal RNA", at positions 524 to 776 of the family's 1533-position model. The record is from RNAcentral.